GACAAAAAACAGGACAAAAAACAGGACCAAAAGUAUGACCAAGAUCAAGAUAGAAAAAUGUUAACAAUGGGUAACAUGCGAGAUACAAGUAAAUUUUAUAAAAGAAAACAUUCGGAUACUCACCAUGGUAGUAGUACCAGUAGCAAUAACAGCAGAAGUAACAGCAGAAGUAACAGCAGAAGUAACAGUAGAAGUAACAGUAGAAGUAACAGUCGUAGUAACAGUCGUAGUAACAGUCGUAGUAACAGUCGUAGUAACAGCCGUAGUAACAAUAACAGGAGAAGAACUAACAGAAAUAGCAAAUCUGUAAAUAUAUCUAAUGUUGUAUUUACAUCUAAUGGAAAAAAAACAGUCAUAGAGGAAAUUAUUUCACUGAAUCAAAUAGUAAAUAUAAAGGAAAUCAAAAUGUACAAAUAUAUGCAGCUACAAAAUGUUAUAAUUAUUUAUUACAAAAUUUUACAAAAAUAGAAUUAUUAACUAAUUUGUGUUGCUAUAUAAUUGGUACAUUUGGUUAUUUAAUUAAAAAUAAAGUAUCGAUGAAAGAACAAUUAAAAGUUAUGGAAAAAUAUUUUUAUAUUGUUUCAACAAAUACGAAAUAUGUGAUUUUAAUGGCUAUGGUAAAAAUGGUUUAUUAUGAUCAUAAAAUUAUAAAUAAUGUAAAAAAAAUAUUAAACGAUUGUAUAAAUCAUUCAGAUUUGGAAUUACAAACAAGAGCAUGUGAAUUUUUGAAUUUAUUUAAUAUGAACAGUACAAACAUGUUAAACUUUUUUAUUCAAAAUAUGCCUUUAUACAAUAACAGAAAAGUUCAUGACAAUUUUCUAAUUAAGCGUUUGCUUGAAAAAAAUAAGUAAGUUGGUCACCCACCCGUCCGUACUUGUUUCUGUACAUACAUACAAUGUUUUUUUACAUGUUUAUUACUUUGGAUCGUUACUUGAAUCGUUUAUCACAUCUGUAUGCACGCACACCGCCUCAUGUCUUACUAUUCUUUUUACUUCUGUUUACGCUUAUAUAUAUAUAUAUAUAUAUAUNNNNNNNNNNNNNNNNNNNNNNNNNNNNNNNNNNNNNNNNNNNNNNNNNNNNNNNNNNNNNNNNNNNNNNNNNNNNNNNNNNNNNNNNNNNNNNNNNNNNUUUUUUUACUAUUACUUUUUAUUACUAUUACCUUUUCCCUUUUUUUUACAGACACACUAUUAUCGAGUUUAACGGAAAUUGCAACUUAUUAGAAAAUGAGAAAAGCGAAGAACAUUAUUAUGGGAUACAAAACAGUAAUGGCAUACAUAAAGACGACAAGUACAACAAUGAAAGUGUUAAUAACGAUUUUGACUAUAAUAAAUCAUCGACAUCUCUUAAAUUAGCAGAAAACGACUAUAAUAUGAAAAAAAGGGGACGUAGUAAAUCUGUUAAAAGUUUUACUGAUUUAAAAAAAAAAUCUACAUUUUACAAUGGAUCCGGUUUAUCUAAUACAUCACUAGUUUCUAGUUCUCCAUCUAGUGGUGAUCCUAGGAUAUCUGAUGAUGUUGACAAACAUAGUGAUUCUAAUAAAAAAAAAAUAAAUAGAUUAUUAUGUUUAAAAAAACCAAACAAUUUAAAUCAAUUAUGGUUCAACUCAUGUUUAUUAGAUAAAUCUCUACUAUUUAAAAACAGUAUUAUAUCAGUUGUAGUCAAACAAAAGUACAAAGAAAACAAAAUAUUUAUUACAUUUUUUGUAAAAAAUAUUACCAAAGACGUGAUCAAUAUUACAAGUAUUAAUAUUGAAGAUUGUGAACACCUGAAUAUAAGAGAACAAAAAAGUUUUAACCCUGAGCAUUUAGAAAGUGGAUGUAUAUACGUGCAUAAAAUUAUCGUUAUUGUAUCUGACAUUUUUUUUAAUAUUCCUAGCGUUUUUUUCAAUAUUACUACACCUAUUUCAGCGCCAUCAAGUUUCUGUACAAAACUACCAAUACUAAUUACCAGAUUUGUCAAAGAAUAUAAAAUUAAUGAAUCAAAUUUUAAAGUUUAUUGGAAUGCUCUCAUUGCUGCUCAUAACGAAGAUAAACUGAUAGGACCACCAGCAUUUUCGAAAAAAAUAUUUUGUAAUUAUUUAACACACGCUUUUAAUUUUUAUAUAUUGAAGGUAAAGUUAAAUAUUCCGCAUAAUUAGGGACGCAUAAUUAAGGGCAUUUAAUUUUUUGCGUUAAAUUCGGAAUGUUCAUUUUUG
Piliocolobus tephrosceles (Ugandan red Colobus) is the source of this 2194-nucleotide long non-coding RNA. The record is from Ensembl. Lineage: Eukaryota; Metazoa; Chordata; Mammalia; Primates; Cercopithecidae.